This 166-nucleotide small RNA is filed under the name Arabidopsis thaliana (thale cress). RNAcentral's name for it is "ATSL167590". Lineage: Eukaryota; Viridiplantae; Streptophyta; Magnoliopsida; Brassicales; Brassicaceae. The record is from RNAcentral.
GUUUGUUUAUUUUUAAUGACUAACAAUCGUAUAUGGGAGGAUCGCCUCACUAAGUAUUUGUGAUAAUACUUACGCAUCUCUUUCUUUUUGGUGCAGGUAAAGAUAAAGUAUGAUCGUUGAAUCAUUGCAAGGAAGAGAGGAUGAUCUAGGAACUCAUUUGGUUUAU